GCCCAGCCGUAAACUUUUAAUUACAUCUUAACCACCAGGGAACUACGAGCCAAGCUUAAAACCCAAAGGACUUGACGGUACCCCACAUCCCCCUAGAGGAGCCUGUCCUUUAAUCGAUAAUCCACGUUUAACCUCACCAUUUUUAGUUAAUCAGCCUGUAUACCUCCGUCGUCAGCUUACCGCGUGAGCGUAACUAGUAAGCCUAAUGUGUUCCACCAAGACGUCAGGUCAAGGUGCAGUAAAUGAAAUGGAAAGAGAUGGGCUACACUUUCUACUUUAGAAAAAACGAAAGACUACCUAUGAAAUCUAGUUAGAAGGCGGAUUUAGUAGUAAAAAGGAAUCAGCAUGUCCAUUUUAACCCGGCACUGGGGUGUGU
RNAcentral lists this ribosomal RNA (376 nucleotides) under Nectophrynoides sp. HCL-2014. RNAcentral's name for it is "partial 12S ribosomal RNA". It matches the Rfam family "Bacterial small subunit ribosomal RNA", at positions 794 to 1384 of the family's 1533-position model. Lineage: Eukaryota; Metazoa; Chordata; Amphibia; Anura; Bufonidae. The record is from RNAcentral.